Molecule: ribosomal RNA, 466 nt
Filed under: Selenomonas sp. oral taxon F19
Lineage: Bacteria; Bacillati; Bacillota; Negativicutes; Selenomonadales; Selenomonadaceae
Description: bacterial SSU rRNA
Rfam family: Bacterial small subunit ribosomal RNA
Source: RNAcentral
GACGAACGCUGGCGGCGUGCUUAACACAUGCAAGUCGAACGGGAUGAUCUUAAAGCUUGCUUUUAGAGAAUCUAGUGGCAAACGGGUGAGUAACACGUAGACAACCUGCCGACAGGAUGGGGACAACAUUCCGAAAGGAAUGCUAAUACCGAAUGAAGUCAGAGAAGGGCAUCCUUUUCUGAUGAAAGAUGGCCUCUUUUUAUGCUAUCACCUGUUGAUGGGUCUGCGUCUGAUUAGCUAGUUGGUGAGGUAACGGCUCACCAAGGCGACGAUCAGUAGCCGGUCUGAGAGGAUGAACGGCCACAUUGGGACUGAGACACGGCCCAGACUCCUACGGGAGGCAGCAGUGGGGAAUCUUCCGCAAUGGGCGCAAGCCUGACGGAGCAACGCCGCGUGAGUGAAGAAGGUCUUCGGAUCGUAAAGCUCUGUUGACGGGGACGAACGUGCGGAGUGCGAAUAGCGCUUU